RNAcentral lists this ribosomal RNA (492 nucleotides) under uncultured bacterium. Its description in RNAcentral is "partial 16S ribosomal RNA". It matches the Rfam family "Bacterial small subunit ribosomal RNA", at positions 29 to 507 of the family's 1533-position model. The record is from RNAcentral.
AGUGAACGCUGGCGGCAGGCCUAACACAUGCAAGUCGAGCGGAAGCACAGUAAGAGCUUUCUCUUACGGGUGGCGAGUGUCGGACGGGUGGUGAAUGCAUCGCAUUCUACUUUUUCGUGGGGGAUAACGGAGAGAAAGUUACGCUAAUACCGCAUACAUCGUACGGGUUAAAGCAGGGGUGCUAUGGACCUUGUGCGUGUGAAUGAGCCGAGUCCGGAUUAGCUAGUUGGCUAGGCAAAGGCCGACCAAGGCGACGAUGCGUAGCUGGUCUGAGAGGAUGGACAGCCACACUGGAACUGAGACACGGUCCAGACUCCUACGGGAGGCAGCAGUAGGGAAUCUUGCGCAAUGGGCGAAAGCCUGAUCCAGCCAUACCGCGUGAGUGAUGAAGGACUUCGGGUUGUAAAACCCUUUUGUUGGGAAAGAAAAACAGCAGGUUAAUCCCCCGCUGUUCUGACGGUACCCAAAGAAUAAGCACCGGCUAACUUCGUG